AGGGAUUGCCCUAGUAACGGCGAGUGAAGCGGCAACAGCUCAAAUUUGAAAUCUGGCGUCUUCGGCGUCCGAGUUGUAAUUUGCAGAGGGCGCUUUGGCAUUGGCAGCGGUCCAAGUUCCUUGGAACAGGACGUCACAGAGGGUGAGAAUCCCGUACGUGGUCGCUAGCCUUUACCGUGUAAAGCCCCUUCGACGAGUCGAGUUGUUUGGGAAUGCAGCUCUAAAUGGGAGGUAAAUUUCUUCUAAAGCUAAAUACUGGCCAGAGACCGAUAGCGCACAAGUAGAGUGAUCGAAAGAUGAAAAGCACUUUGGAAAGAGAGUUAAAAAGCACGUGAAAUUGUUGAAAGGGAAGCGCUUGCAGCCAGACUUGCCUGUAGUUGCUCAUCCGGGUUUCUACCCGGUGCACUCUUCUAUAGGCAGGCCAGCAUCAGUUUGGGCGGUUGGAUAAAGGUCUCUGUCAUGUACCUCUCUUCGGGGAGAACUUAUAGGGGAGACGUCWUGCAACCAGCCUGGACUGAGGUCCGCGCAUCUGCUAGGAUGCUGGCGUAAUGGCUGUAAGCGGCCCGUCUUGAAACACGGACCAAGGAGUCUAACAUCUAUGCGAGUGUUUGGGUGUCAAGCCCGAGCGCGUAAUGAAAGUGAACGGAGGUGGGAACCUUUCGGGGUGCACCAUCGACCGAUCCUGAUGUCUUCGGAUGGAUUUGAGUAAGAGCAUAGCUGUUGGGACCCGAAAGAUGGUGAACUAUGCUUGAAUAGGGUGAAGCCAGAGGAAACUCUGGUGGAGGCUCGCAGCGGUUCUGACGUGCAAAUCGAUCGUCAAAUUUGGGCAUAGGGGCGAAAGACUAA
This 846-nucleotide ribosomal RNA is filed under the name Didymella lethalis. RNAcentral describes it as "LSU rRNA". It matches the Rfam family "Eukaryotic large subunit ribosomal RNA", at positions 70 to 934 of the family's 3401-position model. The record is from RNAcentral. Lineage: Eukaryota; Fungi; Ascomycota; Dothideomycetes; Pleosporales; Didymellaceae.